ACUAAAUGAAUAAGAAAAGAAUAUCGAAUAUAAUUAUAUUAUAUAAUAUGGUUAAUUUUGGGAAAUAUUUAAAUGCAUGCGCUAACAAAAUAAAUAAAACAAUAAUAUAUUGGUAACAUACUAAAUUAUCGAAAUAUAUCAGUGUGUCCAAUUUUGAGGUAUUUGGACAAAAAUGGAUUUUAUGAUUCAACACCUUUCUCAGCAUUGAGGUAUCAUGCUAUAAUAAGAUUCAUUUAUAAUCACAGACAUAUAAAUCUUCAUUGUGGUACCACUCAUUUUAAAUGACUACAUAUAUCGUGCAGUGUUCAUCGUCGUAUUUCAAAUAGUCUUGUUAUUGACCAACUGUACACUCAACAGAAUGGAGAAAGUACCACUAAGGGCCAGGUCAACCUUACGCUUUAUGAAGGUUUUCCACUUCGUUGUUCAUGCGUUUCUCUAUGCAUUGAUCGAAGAUGUUUUUUCUGUUCACGUUGAAACUGCUUUGGGUCAACACUUAGGGUCAUUAAAACUCAACGGAAGUCGAGACGAAAACUACCUACGCAGGUUUUUAGAUCAGCAUUUGAAGUCAAAAGGCGAUUGUAAGCACUUCAAGUUUCGCGUAGUUCAGUUAUCUUUACGAUCAAUGGGGAAUCAUAACCCUGGUUACGUAAAACUUCUUGAAAAUGUCAAACAGGUUCGAAAUAGACUCUUUAGCCUCAUCAAGGGAAACUUUUGUAUUUCUGAAGCAGACGAAACCUCUAUGAACUAUCACAUGGAAUCAUUUCUUGAAGAUGCGUUAGAAAAGCUGAACGACGAUAGUCUAAUAAGAAAAGUAGACAGUGUUAACUGCACCGAUUAUAACCUAUUGUUCGAUGAAUUGGAAAAUUGGAUUCAGGAAGAUGAAUCAUAUGGUUGGUAUCAGUGUUCAGUUUAUCUUUAGUAAAUGACUAUCUUUCCCGCUUGACACAUGGAAAAUUUCAAAAGCUUUCGUUGGGGAUAUCGUUGACUCGUGACAAACUUUGCCAUUUUGUGUCGUAAGUAUUCCAUUUGUUCUUGCAAGGAAACCUUGGCGGCGGCUGCAUUUCCAUUUCAAAUGAAGAGAAAAACCAUCUGAAAGAUCACAGUUCUUUUCACGACUCUUGUAAAAACUGUGAUGGAUCAAAACAGUUUUUCAAACGGACACUUAAUGGAAAAAGAUCACCAAACGAAUCAUGUGAAAUACACACAUAUCUUAUUAAUAUGUUCGUGUUAAAAAAGGAUAGAAAGCUGCGUGAUAUCCUGUCCUGUGAAAUUAAAGAUUUACAAGAUAUUAUAUGCCAUUGCAGUCUUUUUCAAGAACCGAACAGAGGUGUCAAUGCAUUUCUCAAAGAGGUGACAAAAGCCAGGAACGAAAUUGCUCAUUCAACGAACAACACGAUGGAAUCUCCAACUACUGAAACAAUAUUUUAAAAACAUGGUUGGGCUUUUAUGCGCUCUAUCGCAGUAUCGAAUUAUUUCGAAACCAUUGAAAAGCGAAAUGAAAAACGGCGAAAGAGAUCUUGAACAGCUUAGCACCAGCAAGAUCAUCGUGCGUAUAUUUGAGGAUAACAACGAAGCUCUUACGGAAAAGAAAAGAGCACUAGUGGCAGAUAUUGCAGAAGCGAACAUCGCAGAAGUCGAUCAUAUUUCAGGUCUACUUAAAGAUGUACUCAGAGAAAAAGAACACUUAGAAAAAGAGUACCAAUGCUAUGCCAAUAAUGGAGCUACAAUGACUUCUGAAGAUGGGCAACACCUAAAACAUCUUUGUGCGACCAUUUUGCGCUUUGUCCGGAUUGCAAGUGAAAUAUGUAUUAUACGCGUAUGUACAGAUGAGAACCUUCUUGGACCACUUCUUGAACGAUUUAAUCAACUUUGUUGAUUUCAAUAGGCAAUCUGUGUGUUAUAAUGCAACAUAAAACAUUUUAUAAUAGUAUUUGAGGCGAUGACCUCAAUUAUCCAUAUGCUAGAGUUCCUAUAUCAUUCGCUGUGUUAUCAUUUGAUCACAUGCUAAAUCUUGUUUCCGGUUUCAUAUAUAGCCAUUACGUAAAUUGUCCGUACGACACAUAUGUAAUAUAACAUUCCUUCAUUUAUAUUGGUCAGAAAAUAACCACACUGCAUGUUUGUCAACAAAUAAUUAGGCAAAAUUAAUUGCUUCAUUGGCAUAUUCUAGCAAGUCAUACGUUAAUUUAUCUGUUUGUAGUUAUGAUGAAGAUUUAAUUGGAAAACAUAAGUACAUUUUCUAUCUAGGAAAGAUCUGUUUUUAAUAUUUGAUUUUGUGAAAAACUUUAUCAAAAACGGUCGUUUCUUAUUUAUUAAAACUGGUAAUGACGCCAUGAAUAUAUAUAACAAAUAUUACCAGAUAUGACGUCAUAAUUUAAAAGAAAACAAAUUUCGUUAACAGCAUAGUGAGAUUUUUUUUGUUAUCAUAAUGUGAUAUCAUCUUAGUAUACAUUCUACGAAUAUAUAAACUCAAUUGGGUUUUCCUCGUGUUUUAAAAUUAUUUCGGGUACUACUUUCAUUUUUUUGUUUAGUUGUGAUUUAAUAUAUUCUAUUUAAUUUUUCUCCUCUAUUUUUAGUAUACUUUCUAAUGCGAAUGUGAAGAUUUCUGAUAUAAUCUUUAUUUAUUUUUUUCUCAUUAUGUGUUUGGCUUUGCAUCUUAUUUUGUUUCAUUGAAAUUAACCGUUUCUUGGAUGCGAUUUAAUAUUGGUUUGUUAAGAGCACGUGAUAUCCACCUUACAAUUUGAUUGGUUCGUGAACCAGGUGAAAUCAAUCUGGGAGUGAAACCGAAAAGCAAAUGUUAUGCGUGUCGUUACCACGAAACAGUUACUUAACCAAACCAGUGAAUGAAAUAUUCUAGCAAGCUACAUAAAUACUUUUAUGUCCCAUAAAUGUUAUUUACAUUCCCUUUUCGUAGAGAGAAUACAAAUAUACGAGCUGAUAUAAGUAACAACUGCUAAUGAACUUCCUUCAACAUUCAAAUAUUGUUUUUCAUUAUUUCAAAGUUAUCUUUCAAUCACAAAUAAUGCAGUUAUAAUAAUUUUAAAUUACAUACAAGUCACGUGCAAUUCUUUAAAUAUGAUAAUAUUGAAGGUCUUUUCUUUAAUAGAAAUGCAUUUUCCGUGGCCGUUUUAUUUGAGUAAAAUAUAUAAAACUCCAUUAAAUCAUGAGUCAAAUAAUGAUCAAAAUGUGCAAAUAUUGAACACAAAUGUUUCUGUUUUAG
Molecule: long non-coding RNA, 3217 nt
Organism: Mya arenaria
Lineage: Eukaryota; Metazoa; Mollusca; Bivalvia; Myida; Myidae
Exons: 4
Source: RefSeq, a predicted model, not a curated record